UCCGGUUUGUCACCGGCAGUCUCGCAUGAGUCCCCAACUAAAUGCUGGCAACAUGCGACGGGGGUUGCGCUCGUUGCGGGACUUAACCCAACAUCUCACGACACGAGCUGACGACAGCCAUGCACCACCUGUGAUCCUGUCCCGAAGGAAAGGCGUGUUUCCACGCCGGUCAGGAACAUGUCAAGCCCAGGUAAGGUUCUUCGCGUUGCGUCGAAUUAAACCACAUGCUCCGCUGCUUGUGCGGGCCCCCGCCAAUUCCUUUGAGUUUUAAUCUUGCGAUCGUAGUUCCCAGGCGGUUCACUUAAUGCGUUAGCUUCGGCGCGGCGGGAGUCGACACCCGCCACACCUAGUGUCCAUCGUUUACGGCGUGGACUAC
This 376-nucleotide unclassified non-coding RNA is filed under the name uncultured Solirubrobacterales bacterium. Its description in RNAcentral is "contains 16S-23S intergenic spacer region". Lineage: Bacteria; Bacillati; Actinomycetota; Thermoleophilia; Solirubrobacterales. The record is from RNAcentral.